Molecule: ribosomal RNA, 301 nt
Filed under: uncultured bacterium
Lineage: Bacteria
Description: partial 16S ribosomal RNA
Rfam family: Bacterial small subunit ribosomal RNA
Source: RNAcentral
CAGUCGCCGCGGUAAUACGGAGGAUCCAAGCGUUAUCCGGAAUCAUUGGGUUUAAAGGGUCCGUAGGCGGUCUUGUAAGUCAGUGGUGAAAGCCCAUCGCUCAACGGUGGAACGGCCAUUGAUACUGCAGGACUUGAAUUAUUGGGAAGUAACUAGAAUAUGUAGUGUAGCGGUGAAAUGCUUAGAGAUUACAUGGAAUACCAAUUGCGAAGGCAGGUUACUACCAAUUGAUUGACGCUGAUGGACGAAAGCGUGGGUAGCGAACAGGAUUAGAUACCCCCGUAGUCCCUGUCCUUAUACA